GUGAAGGGGAGAGAAGAGACAAGCGCUCUAGUAAUUCUCUUCCGGAAUCUGCAGCUUUGUGACAGCAGUGGGCGGAAAUCCAGCUUGAGGUCUUACGCGUUUCGUGACAGCGCACUUCCUCAGAGACCUCUUGACCUUUUGAAAAGGUAAGUUCAUUUUGUAGGCAUGCAGCUAAGAAUUAUUUAACAUAUACAUGUUUUCCUUUCCAGAAUUUUGAAAAUUUUCCAUAAAAACAACUUAAGUAUGCUUCCUAAUCUACCAUCUUAUUGCACACUAAUGGUUUAGCUCAGUGAACAGAGCUUAAGCUAAACACAUGUUUUUGAUAUUUUAAUAAAGAAACAUGUAUUAUUUAUUGUAUUAAACACUAUAUUACUUUCAUUUUCUAAGUAACUGUUGUUCCGAGUUGUAAAACAAAUGACCAUUUUUAGGCUUUUGAUGCAUAUUAAAAUACAAUAUAAAGUUGCAUGUAGUUGUGUGGGUCAAAAUAUAAUGAGACGUACAUUGUGCCCCCCCAUAAAAAAAAAAGUUUGCAGAAUUAUCCCACUCAACUCCCUCAGGUUGUUUUUGUACAACAACACUGUAAAUGUCAUUGGGGAGAAAGAUUCCAGGGGAGGAAACAAUUGCAGCAAAUCUUGCUUGUUAUUUUUCAUAGACAGUGCAGCCUUCUCCAAGGGUAUACUGAGCUUUUAACAUUCCUAACUUGAGAUAACUAAAGAAGUAAAUUCAUCCAUUACCAUUUAAUCUCUUCAAGGGUUAUAACUGGUAUUGUUGAUGCUAUAAUCUUCCCCAGCCUAACUUUGUGGGUAGCACUGCUGCUUUGCAGUUCCACAGUGCAAAAACAUACUGGCAUAUUAGUUGGUUCCUUAUAAAAUUAACCCUACUGUGUGGAAAUGUGAUGGAGACCUUAGUCUGUAUUCUCCUCUAGGGCAAGGAAUGCCGUGAAUGAUAUAUAAAAUGUAGUACUCCAAACAAAAAGCAGAUUUUUAUUUCCUGGUAUUUAUAUAGAUAUAUACUCAGUUGUUAAAUAAUCAGUUUAGGCUUGCCACUUUGUGAUUGUGAAUAAAGCAUUAAUUCUGUGUUGGUGUAUGCCUCUUUGUCCUGGGUUAUACAAUGAAAUACUUUUUUGUUUUCCAUAUUCUCCCUUUUUGUGAUGUCUCAUACAACUUUCCACGCAAGUAUUCAAAACCAUGCAACAUGCUUGAUUGCAUGUAGGUUGUUGCUAAGCUAGGUCAGAGGAAGCAGGCUAAGCCACAUGCCAAGUAUUUUAUCAUCUACUGCUAUGAAGCUUAACCAGUUUAGUAGAAACUGGGGUGGUGGUGACUGCCGCAGUCUUGGCUUUUCCAAGUUUAAUGCUUGGAGACCUGCACUAGACAGGCAAAAAUAAUUGGGCAUGACCUCAUGAGUGCACCAUACAAGGUUUGACUUGGUCUGGAGUAAGUUACUAAAGCGUAGGUCUGUAUUUCUGUCUAGUGCCUCCCUACACAACCAGACCUCUGAACUCCCUCCCCCUAUUGGUGACCUUAAUAUGUGCAGUGUAGUUUGUGUACUGUACAUGCACUGAUCAGGAAAGGAACAGGUACCCCUCUCCCCGCCUUAGCUUUGCCAGUGGAUGUACCCACAAGUGCCUAUAUAUUAAAAAGGCACAGCUGAGGAGCGUACCCUUAUUUACUCCUUGAAACCCCUAAAUAUUUAAAACUGUUGACCUCUGGCUUAAGGGUAAGGAUAAGUUACUAUUUCAUAGUAUAAUAUUAAAAAAAAAACUUUUGCUAUCUUUGUUUUGCCGUGUUCUUGGUUUAUAUUUUUAUUAUGAAUAUAAUGUUUCCUUUUACAGCAAAUAGCUGACCUGAAAAAAGAGAACUUCAGCUUAAAACUACGUAUAUAUUUCUUGGAGGAACAAGUGCAGCAGAAGUGUGACAGCAGCAAUGAAGAUUUGUAUAGAAUGGUAGUUCAUUCUUUUUUCCUUUUUGUUUAGUAGUUUGAAAACUGUUUGUACUUUUUAUAAAUUUAUUGGCCAUUCUGAAUUCUAAAAAGCACAACAUUUAGUUCAGUAAGCCAAAAAAGUAUGUCUGCAAUACCUUGUUGCAGUUUUUUAAACCCUGAUUAGUUAAUAGAUAUAACAUUUAGAAGUGGAUUCAUAACCAAACCAUGGUAUUUUACUUAUUUUGGCGGAUGGCGUUUGGUUGUGCUUACAUAUAGAGUAAGUAUAGUAAAAAAAACAUGCACCUCUGUCAUUAAAGUUACUUCCACGAUCGACCUAAA
Xenopus tropicalis (tropical clawed frog) is the source of this 2259-nucleotide long non-coding RNA. RefSeq lists it as uncharacterized. The record is from RefSeq and is a predicted model, not a curated record. The transcript is spliced from 2 exons. Lineage: Eukaryota; Metazoa; Chordata; Amphibia; Anura; Pipidae.